UUUAUUGGAGAGUUUGAUCCUGGCUCAGGAUGAACGCUGGCGGCGUGCCUAAUACAUGCAAGUCGAGCGAAUGGAUUAAGAGCUUGCUCUUAUGAAGUUAGCGGCGGACGGGUGAGUAACGCGUGGGUAACCUGCCCAUAAGACUGGGAUAACUCCGGGAAACCGGGGCUAAUACCGGAUAACAUUU
This 187-nucleotide ribosomal RNA is filed under the name Bacillus thuringiensis serovar sooncheon. RNAcentral describes it as "partial 16S ribosomal RNA". It matches the Rfam family "Bacterial small subunit ribosomal RNA", at positions 1 to 181 of the family's 1533-position model. The record is from RNAcentral. Lineage: Bacteria; Bacillati; Bacillota; Bacilli; Caryophanales; Bacillaceae.